Molecule: ribosomal RNA, 25 nt
Filed under: Pouteria sp. JC 1668
Lineage: Eukaryota; Viridiplantae; Streptophyta; Magnoliopsida; Ericales; Sapotaceae
Description: partial 26S ribosomal RNA
Source: RNAcentral
CUCGAUUGCGACCCCAGGUCAGGCG